RNAcentral lists this ribosomal RNA (253 nucleotides) under uncultured prokaryote. RNAcentral's name for it is "partial 16S ribosomal RNA". It matches the Rfam family "Bacterial small subunit ribosomal RNA", at positions 525 to 777 of the family's 1533-position model. The record is from RNAcentral.
ACGUAGGGUGCGAGCGUUAAUCGGAAUUACUGGGCGUAAAGGGUGCGCAGGCGGCGUCGCAAGUCAGGCGUGAAAUCCCCGGGCUCAACCUGGGAACUGCAUUUGUGACUGCAUCGCUGGAGUGCGGCAGAGGGGGAUGGAAUUCCGCGUGUAGCAGUGAAAUGCGUAGAUAUGCGGAGGAACACCGAUGGCGAAGGCAAUCCCCUGGGCCUGCACUGACGCCCAUGCACGAAAGCGUGGGGAGCAAACAGGA